AUCUCUUUAUUAUCCCCCUUCUCGAUUUCUCUCAGUGAAUUCUCCUGUUGGGCUCUGCGAAUAGUUUAUCCAUCUUUAUUUGAAUCUGCUGCGAGCUCUCUAAUUUAGUUAGUUAUUUGUAUAAUUUUCUUUGUUUUUGCACUUCUUCUAUUGCUAAACCAAAUUUUGUUUGGUGAAUGUCCGCUUUCUUCUGUUUUGCAUAAUACUUUCUAAACUUUUUACAUACAUGCCAGUAAUUGUCCGUUAGAAGAUUGGGACUCUUGAUUUACGCUAUUUUUUUUCUGCAGAUUAACCUAUCUAAAGAUACAAUUCUGAAAUGGGAGACGAACAAGGAGAGAGGGAGGAUGGGCUGAUCUGUGGUUACUGCCAAUAUACGCCUGAUUCCCCGUUAGGAGACUUGUGCUUUUUGACACUCAAGAUUAGGACACAAGCACAACAUGCUUGAAAAGGAAAUGGUAGCCUUCGGAGAAGGUAUAGGAGUUGCAAGCUGAGAAGGUUAGGAAACCCUCGCAGAAGACAAAUCCAUCGAGUAAACAUCAAAACUGAAAGAAUACCUCUAAACGGAUGGAAAUUAAUAAGUUCUUAUCCAGAACAUCUUAAACUUUUUGUUCCCUUUUUGUUGUUAAAAGCCCUCCUGUGAUAGUUUUUCCUAUUUUAAUAUUUGAGACAUCACUCAAAGCUUUAUUUGUGGCCAUUAGAGUACCACCUUUAAUUCAGGAAUGACGAUGAGCAUUUCUUGAGAUGUUCCUAUAAACUCGAGUUCUAAUGGAUAUAGUUUUUAGUUA
Nicotiana tabacum (common tobacco) is the source of this 785-nucleotide long non-coding RNA. RefSeq lists it as uncharacterized. NCBI's taxonomy places the organism in Eukaryota, Viridiplantae, Streptophyta, Magnoliopsida, Solanales, Solanaceae. The record is from RefSeq and is a predicted model, not a curated record.